GGAUGCUGAGGAGUCCCAUACCAGGACGAAACGGCCGUCCAGUGC
Molecule: non-coding RNA, 45 nt
Filed under: Schistosoma margrebowiei
Lineage: Eukaryota; Metazoa; Platyhelminthes; Trematoda; Strigeidida; Schistosomatidae
Source: RNAcentral